ACAAGCUUGACGACGGGAGAAUGCAACGCGCCCAGUGUGGCAACGCAAGCGAUCCCGGAGAAGCCAGCGGGUGCCCCGGGGAGAGUUCUCUUUUCUCAGUGAAGGGCAGGGCGCCCUGGAAUGGGUUCGCUCCGAGAGAGGGGCACGUGCUCUGGAAAGCAAAA
Hippocampus comes (tiger tail seahorse) is the source of this 164-nucleotide long non-coding RNA. RefSeq lists it as uncharacterized. The record is from RefSeq and is a predicted model, not a curated record. NCBI's taxonomy places the organism in Eukaryota, Metazoa, Chordata, Actinopteri, Syngnathiformes, Syngnathidae. The transcript has 4 exons.